UCACCCACAGGCUGCCAAACUCCACAUGCUGAUUUGCAAAUUCAAAUAGGGAUUCCCCAACUUUCAUACACUAUUUCUUCAACUGUUUCUCCUAUCAUUAUGCUAAAAUUCUGUCUCUCCCUCCCUUUACUCAUGUGUAUGAGGCUACCUGCGCUUUUGGUUUGAUUACAAAAAUCCACGGAGGCAUAAAUGAAGUGAGGAAUUCUGGUUAGCCCAUCGGAAACGAAAUCAUGGGAGACAAGGUCUAUAUCCACUGCCACGAUCUCCAGAACUAAGAUAACUUGCAAGUGGAGAAUGCUGCCACAUCUUUCACAGAUCUCCAUAAUGGUGGUAAUAUUGGGAAAAAGAAAAUACAAAUUUAAUGACGGUAACCAGAGUUUAAUUGGUUGAUGCUUUUCUCCGAUUAGCUUUUCAGGAUUUUCAGGCUAUGGAUUGUUAUUGCACAAAAUUGCUUAGUUAACUUCUGAGAGUCAGGCCUGGUGCUAAAGUCAAACCAAUAAAAGCUACAUACCCCUGACUUUUUAAAUUAAUAUGGUUUUGAUUACUUAUGGGAUGUGGCCAUCAUCACUGGUACUGGAGUACCCUUUGAGAUCUGUGAUCUAGUACAGUUUCUCUCCAUUUUGUCACAGGUUCUCUCAUGCCUCUGACAUUGGACUCCUUCGAUCCUGCAUAUAGGAGUCAGGAUUUUCUCUGGUAAAAAUAUGGUACUGAAGGUGCCCCAUGCCAGCACCCUCAUGUGGAUGUAACUGUCUUAUGGUUCAGAGCCCAGAAUCUGGAGAGCCCCCCACUCCAGACAGUCAAUUGUCUUAGGAAAAGAAAGGACUGUCCCUAAAUGGAGCAACACUAGCUGUUCUCCUCAAAGACUCUAUAUCUAUUAUGGUUGUUGAGUAGGCGUUUUACCACAUCCUCUUAGGGUAAACACAGUAAUAUAUUCAGAAAGGAUAUUGGGACUUUCUACAUCAUAUAGUUUAAGAUUUAGUUGCCUAGACUGUGCUCUUCUGUACUGCAAUGGGUUGAGGGCUGAAUCCAUCCAUACCUGCAGAGAAGGUCCUGUCAAGUUGACCCUAUGUUCAAGACCUCUGUCAAUUUUUUCUUCCAUGUUAGCUGGGUGUCUCCUGCUCAGAAACUUCUGUUAGCUCCAAUCUUUAUCCACAGAGCCAUCUUACUUGCCCCAUCACCAAAUCUUUUCAGCUCAUCUUUAUUUCCUCUUUUUGGGAAAAUUAGAGCAAAGGAUGACAAAGUAUCAGGGACAUAAGAAGGGUGUGGAAUCUUUCUGAAUAUUUAUCUAAGGGUUAACUCUGUAUAUCCCAUGUGUGAUAGCCAAUCUUUGUUAUCAACUUGACUGCAUAUGGAAUCAAAUAAAUCACAAACCAUUGGUUA
Mesocricetus auratus (golden hamster) is the source of this 1380-nucleotide long non-coding RNA. RefSeq lists it as uncharacterized. The transcript is spliced from 2 exons. The record is from RefSeq and is a predicted model, not a curated record. NCBI's taxonomy places the organism in Eukaryota, Metazoa, Chordata, Mammalia, Rodentia, Cricetidae.